This is a long non-coding RNA of Paramisgurnus dabryanus, 569 nucleotides long. RefSeq lists it as uncharacterized. Lineage: Eukaryota; Metazoa; Chordata; Actinopteri; Cypriniformes; Cobitidae. The record is from RefSeq and is a predicted model, not a curated record.
GAUCAACUGCUAUUGACAUUUUUGAAUUGGGACAAUUGUGGAGUGAUUCGGAAGAAAAACGUUUGCAACACAUCCAUUCCAGACUGCUCUGACAGAUAAAACUGACACACUUGAUGAGGACACAGUCAAAGCUUUAAAAGACCGUGUGAUAAAGCAGUCUUCAAUUACUACGGUGUCUGAAUUGCAAGAAGAAAUGACCCUCCACUUAAACAUGUGACAUCUAAACUGUUUUGUGUUUUAGUUCAGCUUUUUAUAGGUUUAUCUUAAGUUGGUUAAAGGCGGAGUGCACUAUUUUUGAAAGCCAAUGUUAACAUUUGAAAUUACCUAAACAAACAUGCCUCUACCCCAAUAGAAUCGGGACCUUCUUUUGAUAGAGCCACCACACACAUACGCAACCCCGGCAAGGAUGUCGGUUAGUAGACACACCCCUUACUGCUGGUUGGCUACAAGUGUGUUUUGGUAGUCGGCCCAAUUUCCUUUUCCAAAGCGUUUUUCAAACAUUGUGCACUCAGUCUUUAAAUUGCACUUAAAACAUUUUUUUUCAGUAACUUUUUAUGCAGAGAAUUACA